This 321-nucleotide ribosomal RNA is filed under the name uncultured eukaryote. Its description in RNAcentral is "partial 18S ribosomal RNA". It matches the Rfam family "Eukaryotic small subunit ribosomal RNA", at positions 1470 to 1796 of the family's 1831-position model. The record is from RNAcentral.
CCCUUAGAUGUCCUGGGCCGCACGCGCGCUACACUGACAUGUUCAACAAGCCUCCUAGUUCGACAGGAUUUGGGAAAUCUUUGAACGCAUGUCGUGAUAGGGAUAGAUCAUUGCAAUUAUUGAUCUUGAACGAGGAAUUCCUAGUAAACGCGUGUCAUCAGCUCGCAUUGAUUACGUCCCUGCCCUUUGUACACACCGCCCGUCGCACCUACCGAUUGAAUGUUUCGGUGAAGAUUCCGGAUAGGACUUUUUUGAUUUAUUUCAAUUUUGUCUUAAAAGCUAUCUAAACCUCAACAUUUAGAGGAAGGUGAAGUCGUAACA